This 622-nucleotide ribosomal RNA is filed under the name Tuber furfuraceum. RNAcentral's name for it is "eukaryotic LSU rRNA". The stretch from base 220 to 373 matches the Rfam family "5.8S ribosomal RNA". The record is from RNAcentral. Lineage: Eukaryota; Fungi; Ascomycota; Pezizomycetes; Pezizales; Tuberaceae.
AAGUAAAAGUCGUAACAAGGUUUCCGUAGGUGAACCUGCGGAAGGAUCAUUAUAUAUACAUUGGACACUAUUGUGCUCCAUGAUCUAAACUCCCUCUGUGUACCAAUCCAUGUUGCUUUCCCAGGUGGCGGGUCAUCUGGGAAAGGAUCUCUUAAAACCGAAUCAAUUGAAUCAGCUGUCUGAGUUGGCCCAGUGCCAUAUAUGGUUUAAACAAGUUAAAACUUUCAACAACGGAUCUCUUGGUUCUCGCAUCGAUGAAGAACGCAGCGAAAUGCGAUAAGUAAUGUGAAUUGCAGAAUUCAGUGAAUCAUCGAAUCUUUGAACGCACAUUGCGCCCCUUGGUAUUCCUUGGGGCAUGCCUGUUCGAGCGUCACUGCAAACCCACUCAUAAAUAUUGUGGUAUUGAUGGAAGUGAACUGAGUCAAACAAUGUACUUGGGUCACCCCAUUGAAAUGCAUAGGCAGGACAAUAAACCUCUGCAAUGAACUUAGUAACUGUCUGAAAGACACAAACCAGUUUGUUGUUGGGUUCAGACCUGGCUUCCAUGGACCUCCAUCCAAGACAAAUUCUGGGUUGACCUCGGAUCAGGUAGGGAUACCCGCUGAACUUAAGCAUAUCAAUA